UACGGAGGGUGCAAGCGUUGUCCGGAAUCACUGGGCUUAAAGGGCGCGUAGGCGGGCUGUCAAGUCUGGGGUGAAAUGCCGCGGCUCAACCGUGGAACUGCCUUAGAUACUGACGGCCUCGAGGAAGGUAGGGGCAUGCGGAACUGUAGGUGGAGCGGUGAAAUGCGUUGAUAUCUACAGGAACUCCGGUGGCGAAAGCGGCGUGCUGGACCUUUUCUGACGCUGAGGCGCGAAAGCUAGGGGAGCAAACGGG
This 253-nucleotide ribosomal RNA is filed under the name uncultured bacterium. RNAcentral's name for it is "partial 16S ribosomal RNA". It matches the Rfam family "Bacterial small subunit ribosomal RNA", at positions 524 to 776 of the family's 1533-position model. The record is from RNAcentral.